Panthera uncia (snow leopard) is the source of this 392-nucleotide long non-coding RNA. RefSeq lists it as uncharacterized. The transcript has 4 exons. Lineage: Eukaryota; Metazoa; Chordata; Mammalia; Carnivora; Felidae. The record is from RefSeq and is a predicted model, not a curated record.
AGGUAAGCUCCAUGACCCGUGUGGGGCUCGAACUCACAAUCCCGAGAUCAAGAGUCACAUUCUCUACCAACCGAGCCAGCCAGGACAAAUUAUGCCCUGUUAAAAGUAUCAAGAUUUGUUUCUAAGGAGGAAGGGAAAAAAUGGAUGUUGGAGGAAGCAGGUGACAGUCUCUGCGACACUGGUGUUUCAAUAAUUUCAUGGAUGGAGUCUAACGUGCACCCAAAGUUGUUAUAAAUCAAGGAUGGGAGUUACCACUGUAUACACCACUGCAAUCGUUAAAUGGGGUGAAAAUGUGAUGCUUGAGUCAAGCCCUGCCUUUGAUUAUUACCUUGCGACACAGAAAAAGCAGCGAUAAAACACUUUAAUUGAUGACACCUCCAUGGUAUUUGUUA